This 254-nucleotide ribosomal RNA is filed under the name uncultured bacterium. RNAcentral's name for it is "partial 16S ribosomal RNA". It matches the Rfam family "Bacterial small subunit ribosomal RNA", at positions 524 to 776 of the family's 1533-position model. The record is from RNAcentral.
UACGGGGGGAGCAAGCGUUGUUCGGAUUUACUGGGCGUAAAGGGCGCGUAGGCGGUCGUGACAAGUCACUUGUGAAAUCUCCGGGCUUAACUCGGAAAGGUCAAGUGAUACUGUCGGACUAGAGUACAGAAGGGGCAACUGGAAUUCUCGGUGUAGCGGUGAAAUGCGUAGAUAUCGGGAGGAACAUCAGUGGCGAAGGCGGCCCUCUGGACCAGCACUGACGCUGAGGCACGAAAGCGUGGGGAGCAAACAGG